This 856-nucleotide ribosomal RNA is filed under the name uncultured bacterium. Its description in RNAcentral is "bacterial SSU rRNA". It matches the Rfam family "Bacterial small subunit ribosomal RNA", at positions 31 to 876 of the family's 1533-position model. The record is from RNAcentral.
GAACGCUGGCGGCGUGUUUAAGACAUGCAAGUCGCACGGGAUACAUUGAGUAGUAAUACAAGAUGUGUCUAGUGGCGCACGGGUGAGUAACACGUGAAUUACAUGCCCUUCAGUGGGGAAUAGCCCAGGGAAACUUGGAUUAAUACCCCAUGGUAUCGCAAGAUUAAAGGUGGCCAGCAAUGGCUGUCGCUGAAGGAUUGGUUCGCGCCCUAUCAGCUUGUUGGUGAGGUAACGGCUCACCAAGGCUACGACGGGUACCUGGUCUGAGAGGACGAUCAGGCACACUGGAACUGAGACACGGUCCAGACACCUACGGGUGGCAGCAGUCGAGAAUAAUUCACAAUGGGGGCAACCCUGAUGGUGCAACGCCGCGUGGAGGAUGACGGUCUUCGGAUUGUAAACUCCUGUCAUCUGGGAGUAAGACCUGGUCGUUAAUAGCGAACAGGGUUGAUAGUACCAGAAGAGGAAGGGACGGCUAACUUCGUGCCAGCAGCCGCGGUAAUACGAAGGUCCCAAGCGUUGUUCGGAAUCACUGGGCGUAAAGGGAGCGUAGGCGGCGUGGUAAGUCAGAUGUGAAAUCCCGGGGCUCAACCCCGGAACUGCAUCCCGAUACUGCCAUGCUAGAGGAUUGGAGAGGUAGCUGGAAUUCUUGGUGUAGCAGUGAAAUGCGUGGAUAUCAAGAGGAACACUCGUGGCGAAAGCGAGCUACUGGACAAUUCCUGACGCUGAGGCUCGAAAGCUAGGGUAGCGAAAGGGAUUAGAUACCCCUGUAGUCCUAGCAGUAAACGGUGCACGCUUGGUGUGAGGGAAUCGACCCCCCUUGUGCCGGAGCUAACGCGUUAAGCGUGCCGCCUGG